AUGUGCUUGGCUGAGGA
This 17-nucleotide non-coding RNA is filed under the name Mus musculus (house mouse). The record is from RNAcentral. Lineage: Eukaryota; Metazoa; Chordata; Mammalia; Rodentia; Muridae.